CACGUAGGGCGCGAGCGUUGUCCGGAAUUAUUGGGCGUAAAGAGCUCGUAGGCGGCCUGUUGCGUCCGCUGUGAAAGCCCGGGGCUUAACCCCGGGUCGGCAGUGGAUACGGGCAGGCUAGAGGUAGGUAGGGGAGAAUGGAAUUCCCGGUGUAGCGGUGAAAUGCGCAGAUAUCGGGAGGAACACCGGUGGCGAAGGCGGUUCUCUGGGCCUUACCUGACGCUGAGGAGCGAAAGUGUGGGGAGCGAACAGG
Molecule: ribosomal RNA, 253 nt
Filed under: uncultured bacterium
Lineage: Bacteria
Description: partial 16S ribosomal RNA
Rfam family: Bacterial small subunit ribosomal RNA
Source: RNAcentral